Nilaparvata lugens (brown planthopper) is the source of this 533-nucleotide long non-coding RNA. RefSeq lists it as uncharacterized. NCBI's taxonomy places the organism in Eukaryota, Metazoa, Arthropoda, Insecta, Hemiptera, Delphacidae. The record is from RefSeq and is a predicted model, not a curated record. The transcript has 2 exons.
AGAGACUGGGGGUUCUGGUGGUGAGAUUUCAAGAGUGGGUAUUAUCUCGGGAACUGGAAUCUUUCUUGGGCGCCCGCGUCUUUUCUUUGUGGUCGGCGGUUCAGUCUGGUCACAGGUCGACGGUUCAGUCUGGUCACAGGUCGGCUGUUGAUGAAAACUCUCCCCUGGGGUAGAGUUUUUUGCCCGAGAAUACUUUUUUACGGGGAUGCCAGGGUGUGGCCCUAGUUUCUGCAGUUCAUCAGCCUUAUACUGACUAAACAUUGAAAUGAACUUUUCGGUAUCUUUUGGUCAUAUCCUAAUAGACAUGUCGUCCAGACAUAUUCGAAUACCAAGAUUUACAUGGUUUUGGCCAGUUACAAGGACAUCGCGCAUGUCUACGACUACAAGAUACGAAUUAUUCCGUAUCAAUGUUAAGCCAGUCAUUCCCAUCAUAAAAUUCGGGGAAUGCUCUGCUAGCAUAUCCAAGAAUUUCUUAGUUUUUAGGCUCAUUGUAACCAAAAAAAAAACAAAUUCCUGAUAUGAUAGCAAAGGCA